This 189-nucleotide unclassified non-coding RNA is filed under the name uncultured fungus. RNAcentral's name for it is "sequence contains ITS1". Lineage: Eukaryota; Fungi. The record is from RNAcentral.
UUAACUAUUAUAUAGUACUCAGACGACACUAUAAUUCAGAGUUUUGGGUCCUCUGGCGGGCACUCACCAGCCGAAGCCAGUAGCCGAAGCGGCCCGCCAAAGCAACAAAGGUAUAUAUUCAAGGGUGGGAGGUCUACCCGUGAGGGCAUGAACUCUGUAAUGAUCCUUCCGCAGGUUCACCUACGGAAA